GACAGAGGCCUCAAGCGUUAGGCGGAAUCACUGGGCUUAAAGCGUGUGUAGGCGGUCUUCUAAGUGCCUUGUGAAAUCCCACGGCUCAACCGUGGAACUGCUGGGCAUACUGGGAGUCUUGGGCCAUUCAGGGGCAACUGGAACAAGCGGUGGAGCGGUGAAAUGCGUAGAUAUCGCUGGGAACGCCGAAGGUGAAAACAGGUUGCUGGGGAUGUGCCGACGCUGAGACACGAAAGCCAGGGGAGCAAACGGG
RNAcentral lists this ribosomal RNA (253 nucleotides) under uncultured bacterium. Its description in RNAcentral is "partial 16S ribosomal RNA". It matches the Rfam family "Bacterial small subunit ribosomal RNA", at positions 524 to 776 of the family's 1533-position model. The record is from RNAcentral.